This 465-nucleotide ribosomal RNA is filed under the name uncultured bacterium. Its description in RNAcentral is "partial 16S ribosomal RNA". It matches the Rfam family "Bacterial small subunit ribosomal RNA", at positions 338 to 795 of the family's 1533-position model. The record is from RNAcentral.
CCUACGGGUGGCAGCAGUGGGGAAUAUUGCGCAAUGGGCGAAAGCCUGACGCAGCGACGCCGCGUGAGGGAUGAAGGUCUUCGGAUCGUAAACCUCUGUUAGCAGGGAAGAACGGUCACUGUGCUAAUCAGCAGUGAAUUGACGGUACCUGCAAAGGAAGCACCGGCUAACUCCGUGCCCGCAGCCGCGGUAAUACGGAGGGUGCGAGCGUUAAGCGGAAUUACUGGGCGUAAAGCGCUCGUAGGCGGUAUGUCAAGUCAAGGGUGAAAUCCCCGCGCGCAACGUGGGAACUGCCUUUGAAACGGGCAAACUGGAGUGUGUGAGAGGAUAGUGGAAUUCCAGGUGUAGGAGUGAAAUCCGUAGAUAUCUGGAGGAACAUCAGUGGCGAAGGCGACUAUCUGGCACAUAACUGACGCUGAGGAGCGAAAGCGUGGGUAGCAAACAGGAUUAGAUACCCUGGUAGUC